CUUGGUCAUUUAGAGGAAGUAAAAGUCGUAACAAGGUCUCCGUAGGUGAACCUGCGGAGGGAUCAUUACCGAGUGAGGGCCCCUGGCCCGACCUCCAACCCUGUGUUGACCACCUGUUGCCUCGGGGGCGACCCGGCCUCCGCGCCGGGGCCCCCGGUGGACCACACCAACUCCGUAUCUAUACGUCGGAGUAAAACGUAAAUCAAUCAAAACUUUCAACAACGGAUCUCUUGGUUCUGGCAUCGAUGAAGAACGCAGCGAAAUGCGAUAAGUAAUGUGAAUUGCAGAAUUCAGUGAAUCAUCGAAUCUUUGAACGCACAUCGCGCCCUUUGGCAUUCCGAGGGGCAUGCCUGUUCGAGCGUCAUUACACCACUCAAGCCUGGCUUGGUAUUGGACGUGGAGGUAUCGCGAGUUGCUCCCGUCCCAAUUUCAGUCCGGCUGGACGACCCGAUUCUCAGCGUUGUGGCAUUCAGUGCGCCGACGAGGAGGGUGGUCCACGCCGUUAAACUUCCAUCAAGGUUGACCUCGGAUCAGGUAGGGAUACCCGCUGAACUUAAGCAUAUCAAUAAGCGGAGGA
This 577-nucleotide ribosomal RNA is filed under the name uncultured fungus. Its description in RNAcentral is "eukaryotic LSU rRNA". The stretch from base 211 to 364 matches the Rfam family "5.8S ribosomal RNA". The record is from RNAcentral. Lineage: Eukaryota; Fungi.